Molecule: ribosomal RNA, 766 nt
Filed under: uncultured marine haptophyte
Lineage: Eukaryota; Haptophyta
Description: bacterial SSU rRNA
Rfam family: Bacterial small subunit ribosomal RNA
Source: RNAcentral
GCAGCGUUAUCCGGAAUCAUUGGGCGUAAAGCGUCUGUAGGUUGUUGAAUAAGUCUGUUGUUAAAGACUAGGGCUUAACCCUAGAGAAGCAAUGGAAACUACUAGACUUGAGUAUGGCAGGGGUAGAGGGAAUUUCUAGUGUAGCGGUGAAAUGCGUAGAUAUUAGAAAGAACACCGGUGGCGAAAGCGCUCUACUGGACCAUUACUGACACUCAGAGACGAAAGCUAGGGUAGCAAAAGGGAUUAGAUACCCCUGUAGUCCUAGCCGUAAACGAUGGAUACUAGAUGUUGUGUUUAAUAUGCAGUAUCGUAGCUAACGCGUUAAGUAUCCCGCCUGGGGAGUACGCUCGCAAGGGUGAAACUCAAAGGAAUUGACGGGGGCCCGCACAAGCGGUGGAGCAUGUGGUUUAAUUCGAUGCAACGCGAAGAACCUUACCAGGACUUGACAUACUACAAAUUUCUUUGAAAAAAGGAAGUGCCUUCGGGAAUGUAGAUACAGGUGGUGCAUGGCUGUCGUCAGCUCGCGUCGUGAGAUGUUGGGUUAAGUCCCGCAACGAGCGCAACCCUUAUUUUUAGUUACUAAUUAAUUAGGUUUUCUAGAAAGACUGCCGGUGACAAACCGGAGGAAGGUGAGGAUGACGUCAAGUCAGCAUGCCCCUUAUGUCCUGGGCUACACACGUGCUACAAUGGUUAAAACAAAGGGUCGCGAGCUUGUGAGAGUCAGCUAAUCCCAUAAAUUUAGCCUAAGUUCAGAUUGUAGGCUGCA